This 31-nucleotide small RNA is filed under the name Bombyx mori (domestic silkworm). RNAcentral describes it as "ovarian small RNA-10023". The record is from RNAcentral. Lineage: Eukaryota; Metazoa; Arthropoda; Insecta; Lepidoptera; Bombycidae.
AAACGUGGCACUCCCGGGCAGUGCUACAGAU